GUUCUCAUAGUUGAAUUACAACGGUGGUUUUUCAAGUCAUUAGUCCUGGUUAGAUUCCGGGUGGGAAUU
Molecule: transfer RNA, 69 nt
Filed under: Clarias dussumieri
Lineage: Eukaryota; Metazoa; Chordata; Actinopteri; Siluriformes; Clariidae
Description: tRNA-Glu
Rfam family: tRNA
About the family: Transfer RNA (tRNA) molecules are approximately 80 nucleotides in length.
Source: RNAcentral